UGCAGAGUUUGAUCAUGGCUCAGGAUGAACGCUGGCGGCGUGCCUAAUACAUGCAAGUCGAGCGAACAGAAGGAGCUUGCUCCUUUGACGUUAGCGGCGGACGGGUGAGUAACACGUGGGUAACCUACCUAUAAGACUGGGAUAACUUCGGGAAACCGGAGCUAAUACCGGAUAAUAUUUCGAACCGCAUGGUUCGAUAGUGAAAGAUGGUUUGCUAUCACUUAUAGAUGGACCGCGCCGUAUUAGCUAGUUGGUAAGGUAACGGCUUACCAAGGCACGAUACGUAGCCGACCUGAGAGGGUGAUCGGCCACACUGGAACUGAGACACGGUCCAGACUCCUACGGGAGGCAGCAGUAGGGAAUCUUCCGCAAUGGGCGAAAGCCUGACGGAGCAACGCCGCGUGAGUGAUGAAGGUCUUCGGAUCGUAAAACUCUGUUAUUAGGGAAGAACAACGUGUAAGUAACUUGCACGUCUUGACGGACCUAAUCAGAAAGCCACGGCUAACUACGUGCCAGCAGCCGCGGUAAUACGUAGGUGGCAAGCGUUAUCCGGAAUUAUUGGGCGUAAAGCGCGCGUAGGCGGUUUUUUAAGUCUGAUGUGAAAGCCCACGGCUCAACCGUGGAGGGUCAUUGGAAACUGAAAACUUGAGUGCAGAAGAGGAAAGUGGAAUUCCAUGUGUAGCGGUGAAAUGCGCAGAGAUAUGGAGGAACACCAGUGGCGAAGGCGACUUUCUGGUCUGUAACUGACGCUGAUGUGCGAAAGCGUGGGGAUCAAACAGGAUUAGAUACCCUGGUAGUCCACGCCGUAAACGAUGAGUGCUAAGUGUUAGGGGGUUUCCGCCCCUUAGUGCUGCAGCUAACGCAUUAAAGCACUCCCGCCCCA
This 883-nucleotide ribosomal RNA is filed under the name Staphylococcus haemolyticus. Its description in RNAcentral is "bacterial SSU rRNA". It matches the Rfam family "Bacterial small subunit ribosomal RNA", at positions 9 to 873 of the family's 1533-position model. Lineage: Bacteria; Bacillati; Bacillota; Bacilli; Caryophanales; Staphylococcaceae. The record is from RNAcentral.